Molecule: ribosomal RNA, 250 nt
Filed under: uncultured bacterium
Lineage: Bacteria
Description: partial 16S ribosomal RNA
Rfam family: Bacterial small subunit ribosomal RNA
Source: RNAcentral
UCGAGAAUCUUUCGCAAUGGGCGCAAGCCUGACGAAGCGACGCCGUGUGAGCGAAGAAGGCCUUCGGGUUGUAAAGCUCUUUCGCUAGGGAACAAGGAAGGUAGGAUAACACCCUGCCGACUUGAGGGUACUUGGUAAAGAAGCACCGGCUAACUCCGUGCCAGCAGCUGCGGUAAUACGGAGGGUGCAAGCAUUGAUCGGAAUUACUGGGCGUAAAGGGCGCGUAGGCGGCUGAGAAAGUCAGAUGUGA